Long non-coding RNA from Carassius auratus (goldfish), 1019 nucleotides. RefSeq lists it as uncharacterized. The transcript is spliced from 3 exons. The record is from RefSeq and is a predicted model, not a curated record. NCBI's taxonomy places the organism in Eukaryota, Metazoa, Chordata, Actinopteri, Cypriniformes, Cyprinidae.
CACCAUAUGUUGAAGAUAUUUUAAAAUAUAUAUUUUUUUAUUAGUUAUUAUAUUUAUUAGCCAUUUUUAAUUUAAUUUGACAAUACUAAAAGAGUAUGAAAAUAUUGAAAUCUCUCAGUGUGUCACAUUACACUUGCCCUGAAUAUUUCAGUGCCACACAAUUUGCCAUAGUGGCAACGGUAAUUUUUAUUAAAAAAAAUUUCUCUUCAUGAAAAUGGAUAUUUGGCAGUAAAGCGCUUAAGUUAAGUUGGGAUGCGAAUAUAAAUGUGUUUAAACAACAUCUGUGUUAAAUGUAAAAAUAAAUAUAUGAAAAUAUUUAGUAUUCUGACAGCUUAUCUGAGUUGGGUCUUUAUAGCCUUUGCUUUUCUUUAUAUUUGCUCAUUAAAAUUUAGCAUAUUCCAUAGAACUAAACAUUUGUAGGUCAUGGUAGCCACAGGUAAAACCAUGAAUGGCUAUUUCUUUUUCUUUUCUAUACAAGUCUGGUAUUCAUGAAAAACAGUAACCUGAACACAUUUAGUAUGGAGAAAAAUGCAAAAAUUACCAUAGCUUCAUAACAAACAAUUUUUAUAAUAUUCCAUUAUUUCUGUAACAGUUAAUACAGGCUUGAGUCGUGUCUUACUGUGGAUGUCUGAUGGCAAGUUGGAUGUAGUGAUUUUUACAAUGCCAACUCACAGAUGUUUUAUUGUUAUUAUUAACUGUGUAUUAUAUUGAUUCCUUUUGAUAUAUGAGUGAUGUGUGUGGCACACUUUUUCUUUUUCUCUAGUUUCUUUGUUUCUGCUGCCUUGGCUGCACCAUCUGUGGAAACCAGACCUGGUGAGGACCCUCUCCUCCAUCCUCUUAUAUCACUCGAACAAGCAGGUGGCACUGUUAGCGACUUGCUUGGCGCCGCCAACGACAUGGAAACAGAAGAGAAGAAUAAACGCUAGCGUGAGGGACGUUUUGAAUACGAUGAGCGGCCAACAGACAUUUCAGUAGACCGUACACACAGUUUCAAUGGAGGCACUGAGAGUGCUCGGACU